RNAcentral lists this ribosomal RNA (497 nucleotides) under uncultured bacterium. RNAcentral's name for it is "partial 16S ribosomal RNA". It matches the Rfam family "Bacterial small subunit ribosomal RNA", at positions 28 to 507 of the family's 1533-position model. The record is from RNAcentral.
GAUGAACGCUGGCGGCGUGCCUAAUACAUGCAAGUCGAGCGAACAGACGAGGAGCUUGCUCCUCUGACGUUAGCGGCGGACGGGUGAGUAACACGUGGAUAACCUACCUAUAAGACUGGGAUAACUUCGGGAAACCGGAGCUAAUACCGGAUAAUAUAUUGAACCGCAUGGUUCAAUAGUGAAAGACGGUUUUGCUGUCACUUAUAGAUGGAUCCGCGCCGCAUUAGCUAGUUGGUAAGGUAACGGCUUACCAAGGCAACGAUGCGUAGCCGACCUGAGAGGGUGAUCGGCCACACUGGAUCUGAGACACGGUCCAGACUCCUACGGUAGGCAGCAGUAGGGAAUCUUCCGCAAUGGGCGAAAGCUUGACGGAGCAACGCCGCGUGAGUGAUGAAGGUCUUCGGAUCGUAAAACUCUGUUAUUAGGGAAGAACAAAUGUGUAAGUAACUAUGCACGUCUUGACGGUACCUAAUCAGAAAGCCACGGCUAACUACGUG